CAGUAGCCGCGGGAAUACCGAGGGUGCGAGCGUUAAUCGGAUUUACUGGGCGUAAAGCGUGCGUAGGCGGCUAAUUGAGUCGGAUGUGAAAUCCCCGAGCUUAACUUGGGAAUUGCAUUCGAUACUGGUUAGCUAGAGUGUGGGAGAGGAUGGUAGAAUUCCAGGUGUAGCGGUGAAAUGCGUAGAGAUCUGGAGGAAUACCGAUGGCGAAGGCAGCCAUCUGGCCUAACACUGACGCUGAGGUACGAAAGCAUGGGGAGCAAACAGGAUUAGAGACCCCUGUAGUCCCUGUCUCUUAUAC
RNAcentral lists this ribosomal RNA (301 nucleotides) under uncultured bacterium. RNAcentral's name for it is "partial 16S ribosomal RNA". It matches the Rfam family "Bacterial small subunit ribosomal RNA", at positions 509 to 807 of the family's 1533-position model. The record is from RNAcentral.